GGAGAGUUGCUCGAGUGGCUGAAGAGGCACGCUUGGAAAGCGUGUAUAGGGUCAAACUUAUCGAGGGUUCGAAUCCCUCACUCUCCU
Molecule: transfer RNA, 87 nt
Filed under: Bacteroidota bacterium
Lineage: Bacteria; Pseudomonadati; Bacteroidota
Also listed under: 1 other name
Description: Bacteroidetes bacterium (activated sludge metagenome) tRNA-Ser
Rfam family: tRNA
About the family: Transfer RNA (tRNA) molecules are approximately 80 nucleotides in length.
Source: RNAcentral